UAAGGAAGAAAGCACAUUAUUCCAGAAGUGCUCAGUGUUACAAGGAAAUGGUCUGAGUUAAUCAUGGAGCAGAUCUGCAAAUGUCAAGUCUUGGCCAGCAAUAGCUGCAGUGGAGGCAAAAGCCCUUUCCUGUUGCACAAGGGAGCACACACAGGGGGAGAGGCUGGUGCUGGUGUGGCCCUGGCAC
Molecule: non-coding RNA, 187 nt
Organism: Tinamus guttatus (white-throated tinamou)
Lineage: Eukaryota; Metazoa; Chordata; Aves; Tinamiformes; Tinamidae
Source: RefSeq, a predicted model, not a curated record